This 64-nucleotide transfer RNA is filed under the name Cheironitis sp. MJTNT-2012. Its description in RNAcentral is "tRNA-Phe". It matches the Rfam family "tRNA". Rfam says of the family: Transfer RNA (tRNA) molecules are approximately 80 nucleotides in length. Their secondary structure includes four short double-helical elements and three loops (D, anti-codon, and T loops). The record is from RNAcentral. Lineage: Eukaryota; Metazoa; Arthropoda; Insecta; Coleoptera; Scarabaeidae.
ACUUAAAUAGCUUAAUUUUAAAGCGUAAUAUUGAAGAUAUUAAAAUAGUGUAUCACUUUUAAGU